GUCAGCAACCCGCACUCUCUGUGACAAGGCUACGCGCGGAGCGAAAGUUACGCGAAGUAAUGCCUCACUCCUAGCGUGAUAGUUGACCAGCCUAAGUGCCUUGUGUACUAAGUUUUUUGAGUCAUGACACCCUGUAGAUGCGUAGCUAGUCUCCGGCUCUGUCGUUAGUGGUUAAACAUCUUUAUCGGGUUAAGGAAGUGCUGCUAACCUAACAAGCUCUUAAAACCUUGGCAAAGCUAACUUUAC
Non-coding RNA from Planktothrix tepida PCC 9214, 246 nucleotides. It matches the Rfam family "HNH endonuclease-associated RNA and ORF (HEARO) RNA". Lineage: Bacteria; Bacillati; Cyanobacteriota; Cyanophyceae; Oscillatoriales; Microcoleaceae. The record is from Rfam.